This 1343-nucleotide ribosomal RNA is filed under the name uncultured bacterium. Its description in RNAcentral is "16S ribosomal RNA". It matches the Rfam family "Bacterial small subunit ribosomal RNA", at positions 28 to 1378 of the family's 1533-position model. The record is from RNAcentral.
GACGAACGCUGGCGGCGUGCUUAACACAUGCAAGUCGAACGGAAAGGCCCUGCUUUUGUGGGGUGCUCGAGUGGCGAACGGGUGAGUAACACGUGAGUAACCUGCCCUUGACUUUGGGAUAACUUCAGGAAACUGGGGCUAAUACCGGAUAGGAGCUCCUGCUGCAUGGUGGGGGUUGGAAAGUUUCGGCGGUUGGGGAUGGACUCGCGGCUUAUCAGCUUGUUGGUGGGGUAGUGGCUUACCAAGGCUUUGACGGGUAGCCGGCCUGAGAGGGUGACCGGCCACAUUGGGACUGAGAUACGGCCCAGACUCCUACGGGAGGCAGCAGUGGGGAAUAUUGCACAAUGGGCGGAAGCCUGAUGCAGCAACGCCGCGUGCGGGAUGACGGCCUUCGGGUUGUAAACCGCUUUCGCCUGUGACGAAGCGUGAGUGACGGUAAUGGGUAAAGAGGCACCGGCUAACUACGUGCCAGCAGCCGCGGUGAUACGUAGGGUGCGAGCGUUGUCCGGAUUUAUUGGGCGUAAAGGGCUCGUAGGUGGUUGAUCGCGUCGGAAGUGUAAUCUUGGGGCUUAACCCUGAGCGUGCUUUCGAUACGGGUUGACUUGAGGAAGGUAGGGGAGAAUGGAAUUCCUGGUGGAGCGGUGGAAUGCGCAGAUAUCAGGAGGAACACCAGUGGCGAAGGCGGUUCUCUGGGCCUUUCCUGACGCUGAGGAGCGAAAGCGUGGGGAGCGAACAGGCUUAGAUACCCUGGUAGUCCACGCUGUAAACGGUGGGUACUAGGUGUGGGGUCCAUUCCACGGGUUCCGUGCCGUAGCUAACGCUUUAAGUACCCCGCCUGGGGAGUACGGCCGCGAGGCUAAAACUCAAAGGAAUUGACGGGGCCCCGCACAAGCGGCGGAGCAUGCGGAUUAAUUCGAUGCAACGCGUAGAACCUUACCUGGGUUUGACAUGGAUCGGGAGCGCUCAGAGAUGGGUGUGCCUCUUUUGGGGUCGGUUCACAGGUGGUGCAUGGCUGUCGUCAGCUCGUGUCGUGAGAUGUUGGGUUAAGUCCCGCAACGAGCGCAACCCUUGUUCACUGUUGCCAGCACGUUAUGGUGGGGACUCAGUGGAGACCGCCGGGGUCAACUCGGAGGAAGGUGGGGAUGAUGUCAAGUCAUCAUGCCCCUUAUGUCCAGGGCUUCACGCAUGCUACAAUGGCUGGUACAGAGAGUGGCGAGCCUGUGAGGGUGAGCGAAUCUCGGAAAGCCGGUCUCAGUUCGGAUUGGGGUCUGCAACUCGACCUCAUGAAGUCGGAGUCGCUAGUAAUCGCAGAUCAGCAACGCUGCGGUGAAUACGUUCCCGGG